GUGAAUCAUCGAAUUUUUGAACGCAAAUUGCACUCUCCUCUGAGAGUAUGCCUUUGUUAGUGUCAGCAUAUAUAAAAUCGACAACGUUGCUGUUCCGCGGUGGUGUUCGUCGGAAAUUGGGUUAUCUUAAAUCCUUUCGGGUUUUAAGCGUCUUAUAAUAUUCAUUUUGUUUCCAUGAACGUUUCUAAGUUUUAUUUCUUUACACGUUUAAGGUAUCGAUUUUUAUUAGACGUUACCAUCAUAUCAGA
Molecule: unclassified non-coding RNA, 248 nt
Filed under: Glomeraceae sp.
Lineage: Eukaryota; Fungi; Glomeromycota; Glomeromycetes; Glomerales; Glomeraceae
Description: partial internal transcribed spacer 2
Rfam family: 5.8S ribosomal RNA (bases 1-65)
Source: RNAcentral